GGAGUUAGCCGGUGCUUCUUCUGUGAGUGAUGUCCUUCCUGCCGGCUAUUAACCCGCAGGCCUUCUUCCUCACUGAAAGUGCUUUACAACCCGAAGGCCUUCUUCACACACGCGGCAUGGCUGGAUCAGGGUUGCCCCCAUUGUCCAAUAUUCCCCACUGCUGCCUCCCGUAGGAGUCUGGGCCGUGUCUCAGUCCCAGUGUGGCUGAUCAUCCUCUCAGACCAGCUACGGAUCGUCGCCUUGGUGAGCCGUUACCUCACCAACCAGCUAAUCCGACAUAGGCUCAUCCGAUAGCGCGAGGCCCGAAGGUCCCCCGGCUUUCCCCCGUAGGGCGUAUGCGGUAUUAGCCUGGGUUUUCCCCAGGUUAUCCCCCGACUACCGGGCAGAUUCCUAUGCAUUACUCACCCGUCCGCCGCUCGCCACCAGGGAGCAAGCUCCCCGUGCUGCCGCUCGACUUGCAUGUGUUAGGCCUGCCGCCAGCGUUCAAUCUGAGCCAUAAUCAAACUCUGA
RNAcentral lists this ribosomal RNA (510 nucleotides) under uncultured bacterium. RNAcentral's name for it is "partial 16S ribosomal RNA". The record is from RNAcentral.